Rhincodon typus (whale shark) is the source of this 448-nucleotide long non-coding RNA. RefSeq lists it as uncharacterized. NCBI's taxonomy places the organism in Eukaryota, Metazoa, Chordata, Chondrichthyes, Orectolobiformes, Rhincodontidae. The transcript has 3 exons. The record is from RefSeq and is a predicted model, not a curated record.
AAUAGAAAACAAUUGUGCUGAAGAAUCUUCAUUCUUUGUAUCACGUACUGGCUGUGUGACUCGUCUCUCUCGACAAGCUGAUCAUGUUGGACAUCUUCUGUCAUGCAGGUAUCCCAAAGACUGCACAGAGCUGGCACAUGAUGCAAGUGGAAGACUGGCAUAACACAAUGUCAAACAGCAACAUAUCCAUCCCCUUUACUGAUCACUGCUGACAUCCAUGUCGAACUGCCUAGUAAUUUCCGUGCUAAAGUAAGGUCCUUCACCACAGCAUCAAUUCUUCCUUUAACAAUCUCAGAACAGGAAAUUGCUGCUGACAAGGAUUAAUUCAUCCAUUUGUGCAUGGUUUAGUUAGUCAGACCAAGAUGUUUCUAGCUAAUGAAACACCAAGCAGGCACAACGUAGGAAGGGGAAACCCAAGAGGAAACUGGUCAAAAGACAUAGCCUGCUU